UACAGAGGGUGCGAGCGUUAAUCGGAGUGACUGGGCGUAAAGGGCGCGUAGGCGGUUAGAUUAGUCUGAUGUGAAAGACCUGGGCUUAACCUGGGAUGUGCAUUGGAGACGGUCUAGCUAGAGUUUGAGAGAGGGAAGUGGAAUUUCCGGUGUAGCGGUGAAAUGCGUAGAGAUCGGAAGGAACACCUGUGGCGAAAGCGGCGCACUGGACCACAACUGACGCUGAGGCGCGAAAGCUAGGGGAGCAAACAGG
RNAcentral lists this ribosomal RNA (253 nucleotides) under uncultured bacterium. Its description in RNAcentral is "partial 16S ribosomal RNA". It matches the Rfam family "Bacterial small subunit ribosomal RNA", at positions 524 to 776 of the family's 1533-position model. The record is from RNAcentral.